GUCCAGCUAGCUCAGGUGGUAAAGCAUGAGACUCUUAAUCUCAGGGAUGUGGAUUUAAGCCUCAAGUUGGGCA
RNAcentral lists this transfer RNA (73 nucleotides) under Alligator mississippiensis (American alligator). It matches the Rfam family "tRNA". Rfam says of the family: Transfer RNA (tRNA) molecules are approximately 80 nucleotides in length. Lineage: Eukaryota; Metazoa; Chordata; Crocodylia; Alligatoridae. The record is from Rfam by way of RNAcentral.